RNAcentral lists this ribosomal RNA (243 nucleotides) under uncultured bacterium. RNAcentral's name for it is "partial 16S ribosomal RNA". It matches the Rfam family "Bacterial small subunit ribosomal RNA", at positions 15 to 245 of the family's 1533-position model. The record is from RNAcentral.
GAUCCUGGCUCAGGAUGAACGCUAGCUACAGGCUUAACACAUGCAAGUCGAGGGGCAGCGAUGAACUUAGCUUGCUAAGUUUGAUGGCGACCGGCGCACGGGUGAGUAACACGUAUCCAACCUUCCGUUUACGUCAGGGAUAGCCUUUCGAAAAGAAACGAUUAAUACCUGAUAGUAUGGUGAGAUUGCAUGAUAGCACCAUUAAAGAUUUAUUGGUAAACGAUGGGGAUGCGUUCCAUUAGG